This is a long non-coding RNA of Athene cunicularia (burrowing owl), 490 nucleotides long. RefSeq lists it as uncharacterized. The transcript is spliced from 2 exons. Lineage: Eukaryota; Metazoa; Chordata; Aves; Strigiformes; Strigidae. The record is from RefSeq and is a predicted model, not a curated record.
AACAUGGCUGCUGCUAUAUACCUGUGUUUCUCUGCACUAAGCCUGUUUGCUUUUUGUUUUCUGUUUAGUUUGAUUCUCUGGGGGGGAUUAAUUGUCUUUUGCUUUUUUGCCUUAAUGUAUACUGUGCUACAUUACCUUAUGAGAGAUUAGCUGCAAGACUAUCAGCCCCAAUUCUCAGCAAGUGAAGACUACAGAAGGAUCUACCUGCUGCUGAUACACUGAAACCUCAGCUGAAAUACUUCUUAAACCACAAACUUAUUGUUUGGGAUGGAUAGAGCUAAAUCACCACAUCUUUUCACAAAAGGAUGCACUCCAGGAGUAAGAAUCAAACUGCUCAAGACGACACUACGGAUCAACAUUUCUUCCAGGAGAAGAAAGAGCUACCAAGAAUCCAAAGGUUUUCUCCCCUGACUCCCAUUCCACCAGAAACUAUCAUGUGCUGUUAUUUCAGGUUUUUCCAUCUCUAAACAACAAGGCUUUAACCACUGAA